GGGCUUGUAGCUCAAUGCUAUGAUUAGAGCACUUGGGUACGAACCACGGUGUCAGAGGUUCAAAUCCCUACUUGCCCA
This 78-nucleotide transfer RNA is filed under the name Spinacia oleracea (spinach). It matches the Rfam family "tRNA". From Rfam's summary of the family: Transfer RNA (tRNA) molecules are approximately 80 nucleotides in length. Their secondary structure includes four short double-helical elements and three loops (D, anti-codon, and T loops). The record is from Rfam by way of RNAcentral. Lineage: Eukaryota; Viridiplantae; Streptophyta; Magnoliopsida; Caryophyllales; Amaranthaceae.